GGACCCGUGGUGUAAUGGUAGCACAGCAGAUUUUGGUUCUGUUAGUCGGGGUUCGAUACCCUGCGGGUCUA
This 71-nucleotide transfer RNA is filed under the name Candidatus Walczuchella monophlebidarum. RNAcentral describes it as "tRNA-Gln (TTG) (tRNA-Gln-TTG-1-1)". It matches the Rfam family "tRNA". From Rfam's summary of the family: Transfer RNA (tRNA) molecules are approximately 80 nucleotides in length. Their secondary structure includes four short double-helical elements and three loops (D, anti-codon, and T loops). Lineage: Bacteria; Pseudomonadati; Bacteroidota; Flavobacteriia; Flavobacteriales. The record is from Rfam by way of RNAcentral.